RNAcentral lists this ribosomal RNA (253 nucleotides) under uncultured bacterium. Its description in RNAcentral is "partial 16S ribosomal RNA". It matches the Rfam family "Bacterial small subunit ribosomal RNA", at positions 524 to 776 of the family's 1533-position model. The record is from RNAcentral.
GACGGAGGGUGCUAGCGUUGUUCGGAAUCACUGGGCGUAAAGGCGCGUAGGCGGCCUUGCAAGUCGGUUGGUGAAAGCCCGGGGCUCAACCCCGGAGGUGCGGCCGAGACUGCAGGGCUGGAGGCCGGAAGAGGAGGGUGGAAUACCCAGUGUAGAGGUGAAAUUCGUAGAUAUGCGGAGGAACACCGAUGGCGAAGGCAAUCCCCUGGGCCUGUACUGACGCUCAUGCACGAAAGCGUGGGGAGCAAACAGG